This 82-nucleotide transfer RNA is filed under the name Parcubacteria group bacterium. Its description in RNAcentral is "tRNA-Leu". It matches the Rfam family "tRNA". Rfam says of the family: Transfer RNA (tRNA) molecules are approximately 80 nucleotides in length. The record is from RNAcentral.
GCCGGAGUGGUGGAAUUGGCAUACACGCUCGACUUAAGAUCGAGUGCCGCAAGGCGUGUGGGUUCGAGUCCCACCUCCGGCA